Non-coding RNA from Aegilops tauschii subsp. strangulata, 1800 nucleotides. The record is from RefSeq and is a predicted model, not a curated record. NCBI's taxonomy places the organism in Eukaryota, Viridiplantae, Streptophyta, Magnoliopsida, Poales, Poaceae.
AUUACACCGAAAAAAAAGCAAUUCGCCCCGUACAAUCACACCUCCAUCAAUCUCCCUUGCCUAGGGUUCCCUGCCACCACUGCCGAAGCCGCCGCCGAACCCCAGGUCAACGCACGCAGCCGCCGCUGCUGCUCCGUCUUCUAUCUCCUAUCUCUCUCUGAAUGGUGGCGAUGGUGGUCGCAAUGGGGAAAUGGAAGGUGGCGGAUGAGCGAAGGCCAUGGCCGCGAAGCAGGUUAGGCACCGCCGUAUGGACAGGAACGCGGGCGCUCGGAGGUACCUAGGAAAUCGGGAGGGGCUGAGCAGGACGGCCAAGGGCGUCGCCAAGGUCUUCGGCGUCCAGUUGUCCACGCCUUGAGAUGGUAAUCAUCUUAACUAUGAGCAAGUAGGUCGGAACUAUGAGCAAUUAGGUCACGUUUACGAUCUCAAGGAUCCAGUGAUGUUGAAUCUAAUAGUUGGACUUCACUGCCUUCUCAAUUUAUAUAGGUGAGCACUGUUGCUUGCUGACUCACACAGCAGGAAUUAGGCGGGUUGUGGCGAACGAGGAACCAAGAGGGGAAACUGUAGCUAUACAACUGCGGAAUUGAUCAAUACGAGCAUGCUUUGUCUAGCCAGGGAGAGCGCCGAGGGUGCUGGUCCGCGGCACCAGAAGAGUUGAACUCUCAACGAGAUACUAAUCAAUGGUGAAGUAUUUAGAUCAGUUCUACAACCAACUCAUGUUGCUUAUAACUGUAGCUUUUGUUCAAACCCCAGUUGUAGGUAAGCUACAUUGCCAAGUGCAAAUCCUUAUCUUACUACAGUUUUCAACUUUUCAUUGACAUUUUCCGUUUUGGACUGUAUGUCCAUUUUGGGCCCCAUUUUCGACUGUAGCUUUUGUCCUGACCCCACUUGUACGCAAUGUAAUUUGCAGCCAUGAUGUUACACUGCCAAUAUUUUAGAAAACUGUAAUUUGCUUCCAUGAUGUUACACACUUGCAGGUCUAUGGUAGUGUCACGAAUUUGGGGAUACAUCUCCUCGCACUCAGGUGGAAGAAAUUCCGAUCCUCGCCCUCAAGUCCAACUAAUUCAGGACCUGCAUCUCUGAUAUACCGUGGUUGGUUCCUUCCUUGAUGCCUUCUCUCUUCACAAUCGAUGAAAUACACAACUAGCUUCCACAUAUUUAAGGAGCAGGUACAGUUUCAUUGUGUAAAAAAUAGUAGCAGGUGGGUAUUUUAGCAGUUCAGCUAUCUGAAAGAGAAAAUGAGUUGCUUCAGCAGAAAACCGAGGUCAUGACAUUAGCCGCUUCACUGAAACUGGAAGAAGAAGCAAGUGCACAAGACCACGACCACUGAUGACAAGAGACUUCAAAGAACUUUAAAAAGAGUAGGAGUCAACACUACCGUAGGUAUUGAAGAGGCCAACAUUUACAAGGUUGACGUAGUUAUCCAAUUUUAGAACCAGACAGUGCAAGCUUCACCUCACGCGCUGACCUCCCAAACGAUCACUUCCCCGUCAGUCGAUGUGAAGACGUGGGCCGCGCCAGUGUGGUGCAAGUCCUCCAGUUUACCUGGCGGCGCGACACCAGCCCUCAUGGCACAACUUAGGAUGCACGGCGACCAUGGGAUAUAAGAAGAAAUGAGUGGAUUUGACUGUCAUCAGGGAUGGGACCUCAAGCUCGUAGGCAUAAAAAUUCUUUGCAAUAUAACACCCAAGUGAUUCACGUGUGAUAAUAAAGCUUAGAAAAGAGAGCACGGCCCAGUAGUUGGUUGUGCAACAGGAGAUGAUAUGGCUUCAGUUCUUCUUCACAUAAACAUCUUGAUCCUUA